This 699-nucleotide ribosomal RNA is filed under the name Escherichia coli. RNAcentral describes it as "partial 23S ribosomal RNA". It matches the Rfam family "Bacterial large subunit ribosomal RNA", at positions 541 to 1239 of the family's 2925-position model. Lineage: Bacteria; Pseudomonadati; Pseudomonadota; Gammaproteobacteria; Enterobacterales; Enterobacteriaceae. The record is from RNAcentral.
AAAAAGAACCUGAAACCGUGUACGUACAAGCAGUGGGAGCACAGAGCAAUCUGUGUGACUGCGUACCUUUUGUAUAAUGGGUCAGCGACUUAUAUUCUGUAGCAAGGUUAACCGAAUAGGGGAGCCGAAGGGAAACCGAGUCUUAACUGGGCGUUAAGUUGCAGGGUAUAGACCCGAAACCCGGUGAUCUAGCCAUGGGCAGGUUGAAGGUUGGGUAACACUAACUGGAGGACCGAACCGACUAAUGUUGAAAAAUUAGCGGAUGACUUGUGGCUGGGGGUGAAAGGCCAAUCAAACCGGGAGAUAGCUGGUUCUCCCCGAAAGCUAUUUAGGUAGCGCCUCGUGAAUUCAUCUCCGGGGGUAGAGCACUGUUUCGGCAAGGGGGUCAUCCCGACUUACCAACCCGAUGCAAACUGCGAAUACCGGAGAAUGUUAUCACGGGAGACACACGGCGGGUGCUAACGUCCGUCGUGAAGAGGGAAACAACCCAGACCGCCAGCUAAGGUCCCAAAGUCAUGGUUAAGUGGGAAACGAUGUGGGAAGGCCCAGACAGCCAGGAUGUUGGCUUAGAAGCAGCCAUCAUUUAAAGAAAGCGUAAUAGCUCACUGGUCGAGUCGGCCUGCGCGGAAGAUGUAACGGGGCUAAACCAUGCACCGAAGCUGCGGCAGCGACACUGUGUGUUGUUGGGUAGGGGAGCGU